This 466-nucleotide ribosomal RNA is filed under the name uncultured bacterium. RNAcentral describes it as "partial 16S ribosomal RNA". It matches the Rfam family "Bacterial small subunit ribosomal RNA", at positions 28 to 505 of the family's 1533-position model. The record is from RNAcentral.
GACGAACGCUGGCGGCGUGCUUAACACAUGCAAGUCGAACGGAAAGGCCCUGCUUUUGUGGGGUGCUCGAGUGGCGAACGGGUGAGUAACACGUGAGUAACCUGCCCUUGACUUUGGGAUAACUUCAGGAAACUGGGGCUAAUACCGGAUAGGAGCUCCUGCUGCAUGGUGGGGGUUGGAAAGUUUCGGCGGUUGGGGAUGGACUCGCGGCUUAUCAGCUUGUUGGUGGGGUAGUGGCUUACCAAGGCUUUGACGGGUAGCCGGCCUGAGAGGGUGACCGGCAACAUUGGGACAGAGAUACGGCGAAGACUCAGACGGGGGGAAGAAGUGGGGAAGAGUGAACAAGGGGGGGAAGCCUGAUGCAGCAACGCCGCGUGAGGGAGGACGGCGUUCGGGUUGUAAACAGAUUGCGACGGUGACGAAGCGUGAGGGAGGGUAAUGGGUAAAGAAGCACCGGCUAACUACG